GGCCGCUGAUGAUCCCAAUCAUCUUUCUGACACCUCGUCUGAGGGCAGCGGAGGCCGCAGCCCCUGCUGAGGAAGCGCGGCUGAGGCCC
Calypte anna (Anna's hummingbird) is the source of this 89-nucleotide small nucleolar RNA. RefSeq annotates it as small nucleolar RNA SNORD60. The transcript has a single exon. The record is from RefSeq and is a predicted model, not a curated record. NCBI's taxonomy places the organism in Eukaryota, Metazoa, Chordata, Aves, Apodiformes, Trochilidae.